CUGUCAUUCUUGUACAGUGUGUGGAAUGCCACCUUGGGUGGAGGCGAAGAUCUGGAGCCUCGCUUAGGAACUGCCUUGGUUUAAUGAGCACAGUUUCCCAGAACUUCUGAGCGUCUCUUGGGCACCAGUAGGUUGUAUUACUCCGGUCAAGCUUGAUUUAAAAGCUGCAAAGCUGCUUAGGGAGGAACAGGGUAGGGUAGUAUGGGGACAAAGGGAGGAAGGAAGAAGGCCGUGUGCUGUCAUAGAAAGCUCAGAUGGACCUGGCGGGUGGGUGUUCAAAUCCCAGUUCUGUCCUUUAAGCUGUGUGCCCUUGAACAAGGGUGUAAACUGAAAUGAGUAACCGCUGACCAGGCAGGGAGUUGAUUAGGUGUAAAUGUGGUGUCUUUAAUGUGCCUGGUACCUGGCAGACCCCAAGUGAUAGCCUAGGUAGGUUUCAGAGCUCUCACAGACCACUGAGUGUGAGCUAAGAGUGAGGCAGAAGCCUCCUAACGAUUGUCUUGCCUUGACUGCAUCUCAGCCCCUAAGACACCAUCUAUUCCUGCCCUCUUAGAGGUUAGUCUUGUGUCGGGACCUUUUGGACACCGACCUUCAAAGGGGCACAGGUUGGCAGUUUCUUGAGAACGAACUUAUUUCAAACUUUCCUCCGACUUUUCUAUUAUACUGUUAUAAAUACCGUACAUCGGCCCGGCAGCUGUUUCUGAAGCUGAUUUCUCUCACCCCUGCUGUCAUGGUCAGACCUGAUUCUUUCUCAUAAAGGAUCUCAAAGAACUGGUGUUAGCUCUUGAAGCGUUUCUAAUGAGAAAGGGAGGCGGAGGAUGGGGAGUCCUGGUUCUCGCCCACCACCUCUCAUCACCCACACUCCUAGCAACAGCUCUUAACUCCGUGGCCCACGUCUUCUGCCCCGCCUACAGCAGCAGCAGCAGCAGCAAACUGUGUGUGUGUGUUGGGGGAGGGGGGUCUGAGGUUCAGGAAGAGAGUGGGACAAGAGCCCAGGAAGGAGGCUGGCAGAGCACAGAAGGCCCUGACCUCCCAGGAAGAAGCGGAGUCCCCGAGGACAGCGUCCAGGCUGGCUGAGCCUGAGAGGUGGCCAAGGAACCAAAGCUGUGAAGUUCCAGAUGUGGGAUAACUCGAGCCCUGGCAAAGGACACAGCAGGACAAAAGCUGAGGACGCCAUGGACCUGCAGCGUGGGUGAUGUCCUGACUAAUGUUCAUGACUUCAGCCAGCCUCAUGCUGUCAGAGGCCCUUUCAAGAAAAUGUCCUGUUGCCAGGACUCUCUGCUUUUCUUGACAAGUGACUGGACCCACUCCCAGCUGCCAGCCUGGCCCAUCCCCGCUCUGCCGACUGGAGAGGAACCACCAGAAAGAGAAGAUACCUUGAGUCCUGCCCCCAGCCGCUGUUGCCUUUCCUGGCUUCCAGAAGUUCCUGGCUCGGACUCUCUCAGCUCCUGCAUCCUUAACAUUCGGGUAAAAUGAAACCACUUCUUUUGUACCCUACGCCCCUUCAUCACAGAAUCAAAACGCCGUGCUGGAGAAGAAUUCCAUUCUUGUUAAGUAUUCAGGGACGUUACUGCUCUGUUUAUUCUCAUUUAAAGCAAGGCACCUGAAUAUCUUUACACCCAAUGAUCACUGAAGCAUGAUGAAUUUAGUACCAGGGGAAUGCUUAAUGCUGCUGCUGCUGAAGAAGAUGCUUCCUGCAAGAGCUGCAAGGCAAAUGUAGGACAGAUCCCAGUUUGUAGAGCAGAUCUACAAACCUUCAAUGGGCUAUAGGUACUACACUCCCUCGGUCAUUUGUCAGGACGGGAUGUGUGGGCCUACCCGAACUGUAUUAUUAUUUUAUGACAAGUUGAAAGGGAACUGAAUAAACAAAACCACACAGUCA
Peromyscus maniculatus bairdii (prairie deer mouse) is the source of this 1879-nucleotide non-coding RNA. The record is from RefSeq and is a predicted model, not a curated record. NCBI's taxonomy places the organism in Eukaryota, Metazoa, Chordata, Mammalia, Rodentia, Cricetidae.